Molecule: ribosomal RNA, 253 nt
Filed under: Anaerobutyricum hallii
Lineage: Bacteria; Bacillati; Bacillota; Clostridia; Lachnospirales; Lachnospiraceae
Description: partial 16S ribosomal RNA
Rfam family: Bacterial small subunit ribosomal RNA
Source: RNAcentral
UACGUAUGGAGCAAGCGUUAUCCGGAUUUACUGGGUGUAAAGGGUGCGUAGGUGGCAGUGCAAGUCAGAUGUGAAAGGUCGGGGCUCAACCCCGGAGCUGCAUUUGAAACUGCUCGGCUAGAGUACAGGAGAGGCAGGCGGAAUUCCUAGUGUAGCGGUGAAAUGCGUAGAUAUUAGGAGGAACACCAGUGGCGAAGGCGGCCUGCUGGACUGUUACUGACACUGAGGCACGAAAGCGUGGGGAGCAAACAGG